AGAGUUUGAUCCUGGCUCAGAAUCAACGCUGGCGGCGUGCCUAACACAUGCAAGUCGAACGAGAAAGUGGAGCAAUCCAUGAGUAAAGUGGCGACCGGGUGAGUAACACGUGACUAACCUACCCUCGAGUGUGGAAUAACAUCGGGAAGCCGAUGCUAAUACCGCAUAACAUCGCAAGAUCAAAGGAGCAAUCCGCUUGAGGAGGGGGUCGCGGCUGAUUAGCUAGUUGGCGGGGUAACGGCCCACCAAGGCGAAGAUCGGUAGCCGGCCUGAGAGGGCGCACGGCCACACUGGAACUGAAACACGGUCCAGACUCCUACGGGAGGCAGCAGUGGGGAAUUUUGCGCAAUGGGGGAAACCCUGACGCAGCAACGCCGCGUGGAGGAUGAAGCCCCUUGGGGCG
Molecule: ribosomal RNA, 403 nt
Filed under: uncultured bacterium
Lineage: Bacteria
Description: bacterial SSU rRNA
Rfam family: Bacterial small subunit ribosomal RNA
Source: RNAcentral